RNAcentral lists this ribosomal RNA (480 nucleotides) under uncultured bacterium. RNAcentral's name for it is "bacterial SSU rRNA". It matches the Rfam family "Bacterial small subunit ribosomal RNA", at positions 30 to 506 of the family's 1533-position model. The record is from RNAcentral.
UUGAACGCUGGCGGCAUGCCUUACACAUUCAAGUCGAACGGCAGCGCGGGGCAACCUGGCGGCUAGUGGCGAACGGGUGAGUAAUAUAUCGGAACGUACCCUGGAGUGGUGGAUAACGUAGCGAAAGUUACGCUAAUACCGCAUACGAUCUAAGGAUGAAAGUGGGGGAUCGCAAGACCUCAUGCUCCUUGAGCGGCCGAUAUCUGAUUAGCUAGUUGGUGUGUUAAAGGCCUACCAAGGCAUCGAUCAGUAGCUGGUCUGAGAGGACGACCAGCCACACUGGAACUGAGACACGGUCCAGACUCCUACGGGAGGCAGCAGUGGGGAAUUUUGGACAAUGGGCGAAAGCCUGAUCCAGCAAUGCCGCGUGAGUGAAGAAGGCCUUCGGGUUGUAAAGCUCUUUUGUCAGGGAAGAAACGGUGAGGGCUAAUAUCCCUUGCUAAUGACGGUACCUGAAGAAUAAGCACCGGCUAACUACGU